RNAcentral lists this ribosomal RNA (253 nucleotides) under uncultured bacterium. Its description in RNAcentral is "partial 16S ribosomal RNA". It matches the Rfam family "Bacterial small subunit ribosomal RNA", at positions 524 to 776 of the family's 1533-position model. The record is from RNAcentral.
UACGUAGGUGGCAAGCGUUGUCCGGAUUUACUGGGCGUAAAGGGCGUGCAGGCGGUUUGUUAAGUUCAGGGUGAAAGCUCCCGGCUCAACUGGGAGAGGUCCUUGGAUACUGGCAGACUUGAGGAGGGUAGAGGAGAGUGGAAUUCCCGGUGUAGCGGUGAAAUGCGUAGAUAUCGUAAGGAAGACCAGUGGCGAAGGCGGGUCUCUGGACAGUUCCUGACGCUGAGGCACGAAGGUCAGGGGAGCAAACGGG